RNAcentral lists this ribosomal RNA (487 nucleotides) under uncultured Promicromonosporaceae bacterium. RNAcentral's name for it is "partial 16S ribosomal RNA". Lineage: Bacteria; Bacillati; Actinomycetota; Actinomycetes; Micrococcales; Promicromonosporaceae. The record is from RNAcentral.
CACGUAGUUAGCCGGCGCUUCUUCUGCAGGUACCGUCACUUGCGCUUCUUCCCUGCUGAAAGAGGUUUACAACCCGAAGGCCGUCAUCCCUCACGCGGCGUCGCUGCAUCAGGCUUUCGCCCAUUGUGCAAUAUUCCCCACUGCUGCCUCCCGUAGGAGUCUGGGCCGUGUCUCAGUCCCAGUGUGGCCGGUCGCCCUCUCAGGCCGGCUACCCGUCGACGCCUUGGUAGGCCGUUACCCCACCAACAAGCUGAUAGGCCGCGAGCCCAUCCCUCACCGAAAAACUUUCCAACACCCACCAUGCGAUGAGCGCUCAUAUCCGGUAUUAGACCCCGUUUCCAAGGCUUAUCCCGAAGUGAAGGGCAGGUUGCUCACGUGUUACUCACCCGUUCGCCACUGAUCCACCCAGCAAGCUGGGCUUCACCGUUCGACUUGCAUGUGUUAAGCACGCCGCCAGCGUCGUCCUCGUAGCCACGGAGUCAACUAC